CCUACGGGUGGCAGCAGUGAGGAAUAUUGGUCAAUGGACGAGAGUCUGAACCAGCCAAGUAGCGUGAAGGAUGACUGCCCUAUGGGUUGUAAACUUCUUUUAUAUAGGAAUAAAAUGUUCCACGUGUGCCAUUUUGUAUGUACUUUAUGAAUAAGGAUCGGCUAACUCCGUGCCAGCAGCCGCGGUAAUACGGAGGAUCCGAGCGUUAUCCGGAUUUAUUGGGUUUAAAGGGAGCGUAGGUGGAUUGUUAAGUCAGUUGUGAAAGUUUGCGGCUCAACCGUAAAAUUGCAAUUGAUACUGGCAGUCUUGAGUACAGUAGAGGUGGGCGGAAUUCGUGGUGUAGCGGUGAAAUGCUUAGAUAUCACGAAGAACCCCGAUUGCGAAGGCAGCAUACCGGCGCUCAACUGACGUUCAUGCACGAAAGUGUGGGUAUCGAACAGGAUUAGAUACCCGGGUAGUC
This 460-nucleotide ribosomal RNA is filed under the name uncultured bacterium. RNAcentral describes it as "partial 16S ribosomal RNA". It matches the Rfam family "Bacterial small subunit ribosomal RNA", at positions 338 to 795 of the family's 1533-position model. The record is from RNAcentral.